GAUGAACGCUGGCGGCGUGCCUAAUACAUGCAAGUCGAGCGAACGGACGAGAAGCUUGCUCCUCUGAUGUUAGCGGCGGACGGGCGAGUAACACGUGCAUAACCUACUUAUAAGACUGGGAUAAUUUCGGGAAACCGGAGCUAAUACCGGAUAAUAUUUUGAACCGCAUGGUUCAAAAGUGAAAGACGGUCUUGCUGUCACUAUUAGAUGGUUCCGCGCUGCAUUAGCUAGUUGGUAAGGUAACGGCUUACCAAGGCAACGAUGCAUAGCCGACCUGAGAGGAUGAUCGGCCACACUGGAACUGAGACACGGUCCAGACUCCUACGGGAGGCAGCAGUAGGGAAUCUUCCGCAAUGGGCGAAAGCCUGACGGAGCAACGCCGCGUGAGUGAUGAAGGUCUUCGGAUCGUAAAACUCUGUUAUUAGGGAAGAACAUAUGUGUAAGUAACUGUGCACAUCUUGACGGUACCUAAUCAGAAAGCCACGGCUAACUACGUG
Molecule: ribosomal RNA, 497 nt
Filed under: uncultured bacterium
Lineage: Bacteria
Description: partial 16S ribosomal RNA
Rfam family: Bacterial small subunit ribosomal RNA
Source: RNAcentral